UGGGGAAUAUUGCGCAAUGGGCGGAAGCCUGACGCAGCAACGCCGCGUGAGGGAUGACGGCCUUCGGGUUGUAAACCUCUUUCACCCACGACGAAGCGGGAGUGACGGUAGUGGGAGAAGAAGGACCGGCCAACUACGUGCCAGCAGCCGCGGUAAUACGUAGGGUCCGAGCGUUGUCCGGAAUUAUUGGGCGUAAAGGGCUCGUAGGCGGUUCGUCGCGUCGGGAGUGAAAACUCGGAGCUCAACUCCGAGCCUGCUUCCGAUACGGGCGGACUAGAGGUAGGCAGGGGAGAGCGGAACUCCUGGUGUAGCGGUGGAAUGCGCAGAUAUCAGGAAGAACACCGGUGGCGAAGGCGGCUCUCUGGGCCUUUCCUGACGCUGAGGAGCGAAAGCGUGGGUAGCGAACAG
RNAcentral lists this ribosomal RNA (408 nucleotides) under uncultured bacterium. RNAcentral's name for it is "bacterial SSU rRNA". It matches the Rfam family "Bacterial small subunit ribosomal RNA", at positions 355 to 775 of the family's 1533-position model. The record is from RNAcentral.